Molecule: ribosomal RNA, 391 nt
Filed under: uncultured bacterium
Lineage: Bacteria
Description: bacterial SSU rRNA
Rfam family: Bacterial small subunit ribosomal RNA
Source: RNAcentral
GACGAACGCUGGCGGCGUGCUUAACACAUGCAAGUCGAGCGGUAAGGCCCUUUCGGGGGUACACGAGCGGCGAACGGGUGAGUAACACGUGGGUGACCUGCCCUCAGCUCUGGGAUAAGCCUGGGAAACCCGGUCUAAUACUGGAUAUGACUCCAUGACGCAUGUUGUGGGGUGGAAAGCCUUGUGCGGCUGAGGAUGGGCCCGCGGCCUAUCAGCUUGUUGGUGGGGUGANGGCCUACCAAGGCGACGACGGGUAGCCGGCCUGAGAGGGCGACCGGCCACACUGGGACUGAGACACGGCCCAGACUCCUACGGGAGGCAGCAGUGGGGAAUCUUGCGCAAUGGGCGAAAGCCUGACGCAGCGACGCCGCGUGAGGGAUGACGGCCUCGG